UACCAGCACCCCGAGUGGUCGGGACGAUUAUUGGGCCUAAAGCAUCCGUAGCCGGUUCUGCAAGUCUUCCGUUAAAUCCACCUGCUCAACAGAUGGGCCGCGGAGGAUACUACAGGGCUAGGAGGCGGGAGAGGCAAGCGGUACUCAGUGGGUAGGGGUAAAAUCCUCUGAUCCACUGAAGACCACCAGUGGCGAAGGCGGCUUGCCAGAACGCGCUCGACGGUGAGGGAUGAAAGCUGGGGGAGCAAACCGG
This 253-nucleotide ribosomal RNA is filed under the name uncultured bacterium. Its description in RNAcentral is "partial 16S ribosomal RNA". It matches the Rfam family "Archaeal small subunit ribosomal RNA", at positions 474 to 727 of the family's 1478-position model. The record is from RNAcentral.